RNAcentral lists this small nuclear RNA (107 nucleotides) under Jaculus jaculus (lesser Egyptian jerboa). The record is from RNAcentral. Lineage: Eukaryota; Metazoa; Chordata; Mammalia; Rodentia; Dipodidae.
AUGCUCACUUCGGCAGCAUAUAUACUAAAAUUGCAAUGACACAGAGAAGAUUAGCAUGGCCCCUGCACAAGGAUGGCAUGCAAAUUUGUAAAGCAUUCCAUAUUUUA